UACGUAGGGUGCGAGCGUUAAUCGGAAUUACUGGGCGUAAAGCGUGCGCAGGCGGUUUUGUAAGUCAGAUGUGAAAUCCCCGGGCUUAACCUGGGAACUGCGUUUGAAACUACAAGGCUAGAGUGUGGCAGAGGGGGGUGGAAUUCCACGUGUAGCAGUGAAAUGCGUAGAGAUGUGGAGGAACACCGAUGGCGAAGGCAGCCCCCUGGGUUAACACUGACGCUCAGGCACGAAAGCGUGGGGAGCAAACAGGAUUAGAAACCCCCGUAGUCC
This 273-nucleotide ribosomal RNA is filed under the name uncultured bacterium. RNAcentral describes it as "partial 16S ribosomal RNA". It matches the Rfam family "Bacterial small subunit ribosomal RNA", at positions 524 to 796 of the family's 1533-position model. The record is from RNAcentral.